UGGCGGACGGGUGAGUAACGCGUGAGAAUCUGCCUUUAGGUCGGGGACAACAGUUGGAAACGACUGCUAAUACCGGAUGUGCAGCAAUGUGAAAGAUUUAUUGCCUAAAGAUGAGCUCGCGUCUGAUUAGCUGGUAGGUGUGGUAAUGGCGCACCUAGGCGACGAUCAGUAACUGGUCUGAGAGGAUGACCAGUCACACUGGGACUGAGACACGGCCCAGACUCCUACGGGAGGCAGCAGUGGGGAAUUUUCCGCAAUGGGCGAAAGCCUGACGGAGCAAUACCGCGUGAGGGACGACGGCUUUUGGGUUGUAAACCUCUUUUCCCUGGGAAGAAGAUCUGACGGUACCAGGGGAAUCAGCAUCGGCUAACUUCGUGCCAGCAGCCGCGGUAAUACGAGGGAUGCAAGCGUUAUCCGGAAUCAUUGGGUUUAAAGGGUCCGUAGGCGGUCAGGUAAGUCAGUGGUGAAAGCCCAUCGCUCAACGGUGGAACGGCCAUUGAUAC
Molecule: ribosomal RNA, 503 nt
Filed under: uncultured cyanobacterium
Lineage: Bacteria; Bacillati; Cyanobacteriota
Description: bacterial SSU rRNA
Rfam family: Bacterial small subunit ribosomal RNA
Source: RNAcentral